UGGGGAAUAUUGCACAAUGGGCGCAAGCCUGAUGCAGCCAUGCCGCGUGUAUGAAGAAGGCCUUCGGGUUGUAAAGUACUUUCAGCGAGGAGGAAGGCGUUGUGGUUAAUAACCGCAGCGAUUGACGUUACUCGCAGAAGAAGCACCGGCUAACUCCGUGCCAGCAGCCGCGGUAAUACGGAGGGUGCAAGCGUUAAUCGGAAUUACUGGGUGUAAAGCGCACGCAGGCGGUCUGUCAAGUCGGAUGUGAAAGCCCCGGGCUCAACCUGGGAACUGCAUCCGAAACUGGCAGGCUAGAGUCUUGUAGAGGGGGGUAGAAUUCCAGGUGUAGCGGUGAAAUGCGUAGAGAUCUGGAGGAAUACCGGUGGCGAAGGCGGCCCCCUGGACAAAGACUGACGCUCAGGUGCGAAAGCGUGGGGAGCAAACA
This 427-nucleotide ribosomal RNA is filed under the name uncultured bacterium. Its description in RNAcentral is "partial 16S ribosomal RNA". It matches the Rfam family "Bacterial small subunit ribosomal RNA", at positions 355 to 774 of the family's 1533-position model. The record is from RNAcentral.